Molecule: non-coding RNA, 270 nt
Organism: Camellia sinensis
Lineage: Eukaryota; Viridiplantae; Streptophyta; Magnoliopsida; Ericales; Theaceae
Source: RefSeq, a predicted model, not a curated record
GGUUUGUUAAUGAAGGACGUGAAUCGAUUCUCAAGACACUUUGGCAUCACUCAGUUGCUAUGACGUGUUGCUCUUUGAAGGCAUUGCUAGUUUUUACAUUUGCAAAUCAAGCAAGACUUGAUCUUCUUGAGACAACUCUGGUAGCACUUCAAGACAUUACUUUGGAGAGGAUUCUUGAUGACCAUGGAAAAAAGACCCUCUUCUCUAAACUCCCACAGAUUAUGCAGCAAGUUAUUGAUAAAGUUCAAGAGAAGACAAAGAGCCAUGCAG